RNAcentral lists this ribosomal RNA (368 nucleotides) under uncultured Pseudomonas sp. Its description in RNAcentral is "bacterial SSU rRNA". It matches the Rfam family "Bacterial small subunit ribosomal RNA", at positions 1017 to 1382 of the family's 1533-position model. The record is from RNAcentral. Lineage: Bacteria; Pseudomonadati; Pseudomonadota; Gammaproteobacteria; Pseudomonadales; Pseudomonadaceae.
CCUUCGGGAACGUCUGACACAGGUGCUGCAUGGCUGUCGUCAGCUCGUGUCGUGAGAGUGUUGGGUUAAGUCCGUAACGAGCGCAACCCUUGUCCUUAGUUACCAGCACGUUAUGGUGGGCACUCUAAGGAGACUGCCGGUGACAAACCGGAGGAAGGUGGGGAUGACGUCAAGUCAUCAUGGCCCUUACGGCCUGGGCUACACACGUGCUACAAUGGUCGGUACAAAGGGUUGCCAAGCCGCGAGGUGGAGCUAAUACCCAUAAAACCGAUCGUAGUCCGGAUCGCAGUCUGCAACUCGACUGCGUGAAGUCGGAAUCGCUAGUAAUCGUGAAUCAGAAUGUCACGGUGAAUACGUUCCCGGGCCUU